Molecule: long non-coding RNA, 3491 nt
Filed under: Canis lupus familiaris (dog)
Lineage: Eukaryota; Metazoa; Chordata; Mammalia; Carnivora; Canidae
Description: lncRNA (ENSCAFG00845024486.1)
Source: RNAcentral
UGUUUUUUUUUCCCCACUCGACAUUAUCUCUAAAAACAUGCAAUCAAUUUUUCAUUUUAUGAUUAGAUAUGGUUCAAAAUUCAAAUGAUUCAAGGGAGUAUGCAGUGAAAAAUUUCUUUCCCACAAAGCUGCUCAAACACCCAGUUUUAUUCCGUGGAAGCAACUAGUGUUUCCUGUUUCCUCUGUAUCCUUUCAGAGAUGUUCUAUGCACAUUAAGCAAGUACACAUAUAUUCUUUUUUUUUAAUUUAAAUGGUAGCAUGCUGUUAUGCACCUAUUUUUUCUAUAAGAUAUGUCUAUAGCAUAAAUUAGAGUUGACACAUUAAUGGUAAUAUUAAUCAUAAUGGGUUGCUAAUUGUCCUUACUUGAGGUAGUAAUAUAUUAGAUAUCCCUGAAGUGCCCAUCCUCUCACAGCCUUUCCAAUAUUAUCAAAUGUCUUUAUUUUUUACUUAAAUAUUAUGUUUUUGAGACAUCAUAGUGGUACAUGUAGUCAUGGUUCACGCAAUUUUAACUACUAGGUAGGGCACAGUUGUAUAAAUUGAAUAUACUGCAAGUUACUUAUCCACACAUCCACUGAUGGGCAAUUAAAUUUGUCCCAUGUCACUUUAUCCUUGUUAGAGUGCCUGGUUCAUGAUAAAUGUUUUUUAAGUGAAUGGAUAAACUAAUGAAUCCAUGAAUAAUAAGAAACUGAUUUUGAAGCAUGCUAAACAUGCUGGUAUGAACUGUAAGGGACUAUAGAUGAUAAUCCCCACUAUGAAUCACAGUGGAUUUUUUGAGACCUUAGAGGUAAAUGGGAGGGGUUCAACAAGAAUAGCCUUUUAUAGCUUUUAAAUUCUGGACUUUUUCAGCUUUCAUAAUUUGCAUUAAUAGCCUCAAUCACCAGUUGGUCAAGGAAACAGUAUACACAUCAAAGAUAAUUUUUCUAAUUUUAAAUGUAAACAGUACUUCGUUAGUCAUCUUUUGAAUUGCAGAGGUACACCCAGCUGGCUAAGGGUCACCACACCCUGUCUAUAUUUACUGAGUUAAGAAUAAAUCUGGCUAGGUUGCUUUGUUGUUAAAAGAACAAACUAAUUAUUGAAAGCUCAAGUUCAAGUUCAUAUAUUCUGACUUCCUAGUUAAUUUUCAUAUCAUGACAAGGACAGCUUCUAGGUAAGAACUUUAUAUAUGCUGACUAACCACUGAUGGCAAGUUUUGGCAUAGGACGUUAUUUAAUAUUUGGAUACGUCGCAUUUUGUGGCUGGGGCAAAGGAGCACUUAAUGUGCUUAAUUUUACUGAGAUCAUGCUAAGAAAUUUGUGAUCCCAAGGCAAAAUGCCACACAUAUUUCCUCCCGAUAUUUAGUUUUCUGCCCUAGGAAUAUAAUUCAGCUAAAAGAUUUCAGUCCUGCUUCUUUCCCAUCCUAAGUUUUAGAUUGGGACUUUAUCAUAAUGAUUGUACCUAUUAUAAUAAUUAUUACCUUUCAAAUUAAAAUUGUGCAGGCUUUGGCGAUAGAAACACUUUUGAACAAUUUUUCUUUGAGUUGACUUCAUGUUGUUCAGGCAAGUCACAAACUUAAUCCCUUAUUCACUCAACAAGGGUUAAUUAAAUGCACACCAGAUUAGGUAUUUAUCAGAGAUGCAAGUAUUAAUGUCUAAAAGGUUCCUUUUAAAAUAUGUGUAUGUACUAAUAGACAGAAUACUACUAAUUUAUGACUCGCCGCGAAUUCCUAGAAAGGAAUUCUUAACUAAAUUAUGAGCUAAUAAAAGUGCACACAGUUUAAAAUUUACUAAUUAUAUUACAAUAGCCAUGAUAUGGAAACAAUCUAAGUGUCCACCAAUGGAUGAAUGGAUAAAGAAAAUGCAGUUAUAUGUACACAAUGGAAUAUUACUCAGUCAUUUUUUUAAAUGAAAUUUUGCCAUUUGCAACAACAUUGAUGGGCCCUGAUGGCAUUAUGCUAGUGAAAUAAGUCAGAGAUAAGCUAUGUGAUCUUACUUAUAUGUGGAAUCUAAAAAACAAAAAACACAAAACGCAAAAACAAAAAAACAAGCUCAUAGCUACAAAGGACAGACUGAUGACUACCAGAGGUGGUGGGUGGUGGAAAUGGGUGAAGGGGAUCAAAGGAACAAACUUCCAGUGAGAAGCCAUCAGGAUGGAAAGUACAGCAUGGUGACUAGAGUUAAUAUGUUUUGCAUAUUUGAAAGUGGCUAAGAAUAAAUGUUAAAAGUUCUCAUCACAAAAAAAUAAAAGAUUUCUGUGUGUGUGACCAUGUAAGGGGACAGAUGUUAACUAGACUCAUUGUGAUCAUUUCCCAAUGCACACAGAUAUCAAAUCAUUAUGUUGUACCCCUGAAACUAAUAAGUUGUCUAUUAGAAAUAUAUACAUUUUUAAAGUUACUAAUUAUAUUAUACAAGUAGCAUAUCAUUAUAUUAUUUGGGUUUGAGAGAGCAGUAACUUGCUCAAGACUGAUAGUAAAUUGCCAAUGCAAAUUAUUCAUGCUAUUUAGAAUUUUAAAUAGAAUUUGAGGAAAAAGUUAAAUUUGAGCUUGUUUCCACAUAUGUAAACGGCAGUUUGUUGUGUUAGGUUAAUAAGGUAUAAGGCACCUAGCAUGAUACCUCACACAUGCUCACUCAAUUUUGUUAGCUACUUCCACUUUCUCCAAAAUUAGUAGUAUAUCUAGCACAUUUAACACCUUCUUCCUCUGAAUGAGAAUUUUUAUUAAUCAUAAAAUGAAAUGAAUAUGAGCCAGAUAGAAAUGUAGACACUGAAAAACAUCAUUAAAAUUUUUUAAAUAAAAAGUUGAUAAUAAUUAUGAUACAAAAGAGGAAAAAAUAGAGUAAUACUUUUCAUUAAAAAGUUUUUUUUGAAAAAGGAAAAAGAUAAAUGUUUCAAAAAAGGGUUUUAAAAGUUUGGAGAGGGGAUCCCUGGGUGGCCCAGGGGUUUAGCACCUGCCUUCGGCCCAGGGCGUGAUCCUGGAGUCCCGGGAUCAAGUCCCACAUCAGGCUCCCUGCAUGGGGCCUGCUUCUCCCUCUGCUUGUGUCUCUGCCUCUCUCUCUCUUUGUAUCUCUCAUGAAUAAAUAAAUAAAAUCUUUAAAAAAAAAAAAUAAAUAAAAGUUUGGAGAAUGAUUUGCACACAGAACGAUAGAAUUUAAAUAACUCCAUUUCUGCUUAAGUAUCUUUACAAUCAUGGUGCUAUCAUUGUAUAUUUUGAGUCUACUGUUUAAAGGGAGGGUUUAUAUUGUACCACAGAGGUUGGAGACAUGAAUUCCCCAUAGAAUACAAUGUUUGUUAAAAGAUAAUAAAAAUUACUUUUUUUGAGGCUUACAUAUGUUAUUAAAAUUUAAUAGGAACCACAGCAUUUAGUAAGAAUUUACAUCAGUGGUUUUGUCUUGGUGAUUUUGCCUCUGGGGACAUUUGGCAAUGUCUGAAGCAACUUUGGGUUGUUACAAGUGUGGGUAAGACAGUGCUAUUGAAAUCAAAUGGAUAGAGGCCAGGGGUGCAGCUACACAUGCCAUGGU